This is a non-coding RNA of Pseudomonas fluorescens, 86 nucleotides long. The record is from Rfam. Lineage: Bacteria; Pseudomonadati; Pseudomonadota; Gammaproteobacteria; Pseudomonadales; Pseudomonadaceae.
UUCGCUGCAAAUUCAGCGAACGGGUUUGGCGACCCGGAUAGAAAAGGCGCACAGGCGCCCCCAUUACGAUUGCAGGCGCUUUUUUU